Molecule: small nuclear RNA, 165 nt
Organism: Amazona collaria (yellow-billed parrot)
Lineage: Eukaryota; Metazoa; Chordata; Aves; Psittaciformes; Psittacidae
Gene: U1
Rfam family: U1 spliceosomal RNA
About the family: U1 is a small nuclear RNA (snRNA) component of the spliceosome (involved in pre-mRNA splicing). Its 5' end forms complementary base pairs with the 5' splice junction, thus defining the 5' donor site of an intron.
Source: Ensembl
UUGCUCUCAGUGUAGUUUCAGACACCAUGAUCAAGCAGGUGGUUUUCCCAGGGCGAGGCUCAUCCCUUGCAUUCUAGGUGUGCUGACCCCUGAGAUUUCCCCAAAUGCAGGAAAUUCAAAUGCAUAAUUUGUGGUAGCGGGGGACUGCGUUCGCGCUCUCCCCUG